AUUGAACGCUGGCGGCAGGCCUAACACAUGCAAGUCGAACGAGUGGCGGACGGGUGAGUAAUGUCUGGGCAACCGCCUGAUGGAGGGGGAUAACUACUGGAAACUGUUGCUACUACCGACUACCAUCAGAUGCGCUCAGAUGGGAGUAGCUUGUUGGUGGGGUAACGUCUCACCAAGGCGACGAUCCAUAGGUGGUCUGCGAGGAUGACCAGCAACACGGCCGCGAGGACACGGACCCGACUCCUACGGGAGGCAGCAGUGGAGAAUAUUGCACAGUGGGCGCGAGCCUGAAGCAGCCAUGCCGCGUGUAUGAAGAAGGCCUUCGGGUUGUAGAGGACUUUCAUCGGGGAGGCGUUACCCGCAGAAGAAGCACCGGCUAACUCCGUGCCAGCCGCCGCGGUAAUAC
RNAcentral lists this ribosomal RNA (406 nucleotides) under uncultured bacterium. Its description in RNAcentral is "partial 16S ribosomal RNA". It matches the Rfam family "Bacterial small subunit ribosomal RNA", at positions 30 to 526 of the family's 1533-position model. The record is from RNAcentral.